AUUGAACGCUGGCGGCAGGCCUAACACAUGCAAGUCGAACGGUAACAGGAAGACGCUUGCUUCUUUGCUGACGAGUGGCGGACGGGUGAGUAAUGUCUGGGAAACUGCCUGAUGGAGGGGGAUAACUACUGGAAACGGUAGCUAAUACCGCAUAACGUCGCAAGACCAAAGAGGGUGACCUUCGGGCCUCUCGCCAUCGGAUGUGCCCGGGUGGGAUUAGCUAGUAGGUGGGGUAGUGGCUCACCAAGUCUACGAUGGCUAGCUGGUCUGAGGGGGUGACCGGCCACAUUGGGACGGAGAGACGGGCCAGACUCCUACGGGAGGCAGCAGUGGGGAAUAUUGUACAAUGGGCGGAAGGCUGAUGCAGCAACGCCGCGUGCGGGAUGACGGCCGUCGGGUGGUAAACCGCUUUCGCCUGUGACGAAGCGUGAGUGACGGUAAUGGGUAAAGAAGCACCGGCUAACUACGUG
RNAcentral lists this ribosomal RNA (470 nucleotides) under uncultured bacterium. RNAcentral's name for it is "partial 16S ribosomal RNA". It matches the Rfam family "Bacterial small subunit ribosomal RNA", at positions 29 to 507 of the family's 1533-position model. The record is from RNAcentral.